GACGAACGCUGGCGGCGUGCUUAACACAUGCAAGUCGAACGGAAAGGCCCUGCUUUUGUGGGGUGCUCGAGUGGCGAACGGGUGAGUAACACGUGAGUAACCUGCCCCUGACUUUGGGAUAACUUCAGGAAACUGGGGCUAAUACCGGAUAGGAGCUCCUGCUGCAUGGUGGGGGUUGGAAAGUUUCGGCGGUUGGGUAUGGACUCGCGGCUUAUCAGCUUGUUGGUGGGGUAGUGGCUUACCAAGGCUUUGACGGGUAGCCGGCCUGAGAGGGUGACCGGCCACAUUGGGACUGAGAUACGGCCCAGACUCCUACGGGAGGCAGCAGUGGGGAAUAUUGCACAAUGGGCGGAAGCCUGAUGCAGCAACGCCGCGUGCGGGAUGACGGCCUUCGGGUUGUAAACCGCUUUCGCCUGUGACGAAGCGUGAGUGACGGUAAUGGGUAAAGAAGCACCGGCUAACUACGUG
This 468-nucleotide ribosomal RNA is filed under the name uncultured bacterium. Its description in RNAcentral is "partial 16S ribosomal RNA". It matches the Rfam family "Bacterial small subunit ribosomal RNA", at positions 28 to 507 of the family's 1533-position model. The record is from RNAcentral.